UCUAAUUUAGCAAAAUAUAAUGUAUCAAAUUUAGAAUUUGAGGAUGGGUUACCAAUUAGUA
This 61-nucleotide transfer RNA is filed under the name Ixodes trichosuri. RNAcentral describes it as "tRNA-Leu". The record is from RNAcentral. Lineage: Eukaryota; Metazoa; Arthropoda; Arachnida; Ixodida; Ixodidae.